GACGAACGCUGGCGGCGUGCUUAACACAUGCAAGUCGAACGGAAAGGCCCUGCUUGCAGGGUACUCGAGUGGCGAACGGGUGAGUAACACGUGGGUGAUCUGCCCUUCACUUCGGGAUAAGCCUGGGAAACUGGGUCUAAUACCGGAUAGGAGCCCUUUUUAGUGUGAUGGUUGGAAAGUUUUUUCGGUGUAGGAUGAGCUCGCGGCCUAUCAGCUUGUUGGUGGGGUAAUGGCCUACCAAGGCGGCGACGGGUAGCCGGCCUGAGUGGGUGGACGGCCACAUUGGGACUGAGAUACGGCCCAGAAUCCUACGGGAGGCAGCAGUGGGGAAUAAUGCACAAUGGGCGCAAGGCUGAUGCAGCGACGCCGCGUGGGGGAUGACGGCCUUCGGGUUGUAAACUCCUUUCGCUAGGGACGAAGCUUUUUGUGACGGUACCUAGAUAAGAAGCACCGGCUAACUACGUG
Molecule: ribosomal RNA, 465 nt
Filed under: uncultured bacterium
Lineage: Bacteria
Description: partial 16S ribosomal RNA
Rfam family: Bacterial small subunit ribosomal RNA
Source: RNAcentral